RNAcentral lists this ribosomal RNA (499 nucleotides) under uncultured Sphingobacteriales bacterium. RNAcentral describes it as "bacterial SSU rRNA". It matches the Rfam family "Bacterial small subunit ribosomal RNA", at positions 903 to 1382 of the family's 1533-position model. Lineage: Bacteria; Pseudomonadati; Bacteroidota; Sphingobacteriia; Sphingobacteriales. The record is from RNAcentral.
CCUUGCCAGCCCGCUCAGAACUUAAAGGAAUUGACGGGGCCGCACAAGCGGAGGAGCAUGUGGUUAAUUCGAUGAUACGCGAGGAACCUUACCUGGGCUCGAACGUAAGAUGACUGUAGGUGAAAGCUUACAUCUCUUCGGAGCAUUUUACGAGGUGCUGCAUGGUUGUCGUCAGCUCGUGCCGUGAGGUGUCGGGUUAAGUCCCAUAACGAGCGCAACCCCUACCUUUAGUUGCCAUCAGGUUAAGCUGGGGACUCUAAAGGAACUGCCUACGCAAGUAGUGAGGAAGGCGGGGAUGACGUCAAAUCAGCACGGCCCUUACGUCCAGGGCUACACACGUGCUACAAUGGCCGAUACAGAGGGCAGCUACCUGGUGACAGGAUGCAAAUCUCCAAAGUCGGUCUCAGUUCGGAUCGGAGUCUGCAACCCGACUCCGUGAAGUUGGAUUCGCUAGUAAUCGCGCAUCAGCCAUGGCGCGGUGAAUACGUUCCCGGGCCUU